UGGACAGAUUAUUGUACUCGACUGUAUUCAUGGCGUGAAACAGGGGAUUACACUGUUUUUAAACGGAAAGUGUAUCAAUUAACAUAAUAGACUCCU
Nicotiana attenuata is the source of this 96-nucleotide microRNA precursor. It matches the Rfam family "MIR6152 microRNA precursor family". Lineage: Eukaryota; Viridiplantae; Streptophyta; Magnoliopsida; Solanales; Solanaceae. The record is from Rfam.